GUCUCUAUAGCUCAGUGGCAGAGCGUCAGUCUCAUAGUUUCUAUGACCAUUCUACAAAUGAAUGGGUAAUCUGAAGGUCGACGGUUCGAUGCCGCCUAGGGACA
This is a transfer RNA of 104 nucleotides. It matches the Rfam family "tRNA". Rfam says of the family: Transfer RNA (tRNA) molecules are approximately 80 nucleotides in length. Their secondary structure includes four short double-helical elements and three loops (D, anti-codon, and T loops). Further hydrogen bonds mediate the characteristic L-shaped molecular structure. tRNAs have two regions of fundamental functional importance: the anti-codon, which is responsible for specific mRNA codon recognition, and the 3' end, to which the tRNAs corresponding amino acid is attached (by aminoacyl-tRNA synthetases). tRNAs cope with the degeneracy of the genetic code in two manners: having more than one tRNA (with a specific anti-codon) for a particular amino acid; and 'wobble' base-pairing, i.e. permitting non-standard base-pairing at the 3rd anti-codon position. The record is from Rfam.